GGAGUGGACUGCCAGGAAACAAAAGCUUGCUGGGGAUUUUCUAGAAGAGUGUUUAUGCUGUGUGCUGAAGAGGGCUUUGUGCAGUACCGAUGAUGCCAAGGUUGCAAUGGAUAAUUUGCAGGUGCCUGGUGGCAAGUUGUGUGCAGGAGGGCUGCAUAUCCAGGACAUUGAAGAAAGGCAGACUUGCCCCUUAUCUGCUUUCUCUUUCCUGCUUUCCCCUGCUCCCUCUAGCCUGCUCCCUUUUCCCUUUCCCUUUCCCCUGCUCCCUUUUCCCUAAUUAGGACUCUGCACUAACUGCCACACUGUGGCAAAUACACAGACGUUGUAAGGAUUGGGGAUUAUGGAAUUCUGGCUGCCUAGUAGGAGGUGUUAGGAAGGGCUUCACGAGGAGGAGAUGAUUAGGUUGAAUCUUAACGAAUGAGUCAGAGUGGAGCUGGGCACAGUGCUAUGCACCUGCAGUCCCAGCUACUUGAGAGACUGGGAUGGGAGGAUAACUUGAGCACAGGAGUUUGAAUCCAGCCUCGGCAACAUAGUGAGAUCCUGUCUCUUAAAAAAAAUGAGUCAGAGUGACUUGUGAGAAGUCUGAGGCGAACGGGAAGAGCAUUCCUUAUCGAGGACCAUAUAAGCAAAGGCCCACAAGUGAGCAAUUCAUAGGCUAUGGGGGCUAAGGAAGAGGGAGGCAUCAAAACUGACUCCCAAAUUUUUGAUUUAGGCAAUUGAGUUGAUAUUGGUUCCAUUCACUGAGCCAGGGAGCACUGGAGAAGAAGCAUGUUAGAUUUGAGAUGCUUGUGUGACAACUAGAUGGAGACCCUAUGGGUGAUAAGCUGAAGGAUGAGUAUCCAGCUUGGGGGAAGGGAUGGGAUGCAGGUAAGGGCAUGAGAAGGUGGCCUGAGGAGCAUGACUGCGGGAUAGAGCCAUGGAGCAAGCAGCACUUAAAGGAUGGACAAGGAAAUAAAUUCUGUGAAGGAGGUGAAGAAAGAAUGGCUAGAAAGAGAAGUGAACAUAAGAGGACAACUCAGUGAAGUUCCACAAACUGAGCACUUCCUGUAACCAGCACCCCAGAUCAAGAAUCAGAACGUGACAAGCACCUAGAAUCCACCUUUUUGCCUUCUGUUAGUCACAAUGUCCCCAAGGGUAAAUACUACCA
RNAcentral lists this long non-coding RNA (1147 nucleotides) under Homo sapiens (human). RNAcentral describes it as "HSALNT0311168". The record is from RNAcentral. Lineage: Eukaryota; Metazoa; Chordata; Mammalia; Primates; Hominidae.